Molecule: ribosomal RNA, 407 nt
Filed under: Verrucomicrobiota bacterium
Lineage: Bacteria; Pseudomonadati; Verrucomicrobiota
Description: Verrucomicrobia bacterium partial 16S ribosomal RNA
Rfam family: Bacterial small subunit ribosomal RNA
Source: RNAcentral
UGGGGAAUAUUGGACAAUGGAGGAAACUCUGAUCCAGCAAUUCUGUGUGUGUGAAGAAGGUUUUAGGACUGUAAAACACUUUUAGUAGGGAAGAAAAAAAUGACGGUACCUACAGAAGAAGCAACGGCUAAAUACGUGCCAGCAGCCGCGGUAAUACGUAUGUUGCGAGCGUUAUCCGGAAUUAUUGGGCUUAAAGGGCAUCUAGGCGGUAAGACAAGUUGAAGGUGAAGACCUGUGGCUCAACCAUAGGCUUGCCUACAAAACUGUUGAACUAGAGUACUGGAAAGGUGGGUGGAACUACACGAGUAGAGGUGAAAUUCUUAGAUAUGUGUAGGAAUGCCGAUGAUGAAGAUAACACACUGGACAGAAACGGACGCUGAAGUGCGAAAGCUAGGGGAGCAAACAGG